UAAACGACUCUUGGCAACGGAUAUCUCGGCUCUCGAAUCGAUGAAGAACGUAGCGAAAGGCGAUACUUGGUGUGAAUUGCAUAAUCCCAUGAACCAUCGAGUCUUUGAACGCAAGUUGUGCUCGAAGCCGUUAGGCCGAUGGCACGUCUGCCUGAGCGUCACAC
Molecule: ribosomal RNA, 164 nt
Filed under: Polylepis besseri subsp. besseri
Lineage: Eukaryota; Viridiplantae; Streptophyta; Magnoliopsida; Rosales; Rosaceae
Also listed under: 2 other names
Description: 5.8S ribosomal RNA
Rfam family: 5.8S ribosomal RNA
About the family: 5.8S ribosomal RNA (5.8S rRNA) is a component of the large subunit of the eukaryotic ribosome.
Source: RNAcentral